This 420-nucleotide ribosomal RNA is filed under the name uncultured bacterium. Its description in RNAcentral is "bacterial SSU rRNA". It matches the Rfam family "Bacterial small subunit ribosomal RNA", at positions 356 to 773 of the family's 1533-position model. The record is from RNAcentral.
GAGGAAUAUUGGACAAUGGGCGCAAGCCUGAUCCAGCCAUGCCGCGUGCAGGAUGACGGUCCUAUGGAUUGUAAACUGCUUUUAUACGAGAAGAAACACUCCAACGUGUUGGAGCUUGACGGUAUCGUAAGAAUAAGGAUCGGCUAACUCCGUGCCAGCAGCCGCGGUAAUACGGAGGAUCCAAGCGUUAUCCGGAAUCAUUGGGUUUAAAGGGUCCGUAGGCGGUUUAGUAAGUCAGUGGUGAAAGCCCAUCGCUCAACGGUGGAACGGCCAUUGAUACUGCUAGACUUGAAUUAUUAGGAAGUAACUAGAAUAUGUAGUGUAGCGGUGAAAUGCUUAGAGAUUACAUGGAAUACCAAUUGCGAAGGCAGGUUACUACUAAUGGAUUGACGCUGAUGGACGAAAGCGUGGGUAGCGAAC